UUGUGCUAGGCGGGGAGCCAGCGGUGCCCUAUACCCGAAAUCCGCUUAUGCGGGGCUGAAUUCCCCCUUUAGGGUUAGUCUUGAUGCAAUCGAGCUACCCCGACCGGCCGCCGCGCAACAGACGGUCUCGAACCUCGUCAGGUCCGGAAGGAAGCAGCGAUAAGGGAUGCAGUCUGUGUCGUGGAUCGAUCCCGGUCAGGUUGCGGCUCCGGUUUUUCGGACCCACUCGACGGGGGGUGCACAA
RNAcentral lists this signal recognition particle RNA (244 nucleotides) under Pseudomonadota bacterium. RNAcentral describes it as "Proteobacteria bacterium signal recognition particle sRNA large type". It matches the Rfam family "Bacterial large signal recognition particle RNA". Rfam says of the family: The signal recognition particle (SRP) is a universally conserved ribonucleoprotein involved in the co-translational targeting of proteins to membranes. Archaeal SRP consists of a 7S RNA and homologues of the eukaryotic SRP19 and SRP54 proteins. Lineage: Bacteria; Pseudomonadati; Pseudomonadota. The record is from RNAcentral.